This 694-nucleotide ribosomal RNA is filed under the name Escherichia coli. Its description in RNAcentral is "partial 23S ribosomal RNA". It matches the Rfam family "Bacterial large subunit ribosomal RNA", at positions 2237 to 2925 of the family's 2925-position model. The record is from RNAcentral. Lineage: Bacteria; Pseudomonadati; Pseudomonadota; Gammaproteobacteria; Enterobacterales; Enterobacteriaceae.
AAUCCGGGUUGCGGACAGUGUCUGGUGGGUAGUUUGACUGGGGCGGUCUCCUCCUAAAGAGUAACGGAGGAGCACGAAGGUUGGCUAAUCCUGGUCGGACAUCAGGAGGUUAGUGCAAUGGCAUAAGCCAGCUUGACUGCGAGCGUGACGGCGCGAGCAGGUGCGAAAGCAGGUCAUAGUGAUCCGGUGGUUCUGAAUGGAAGGGCCAUCGCUCAACGGAUAAAAGGUACUCCGGGGAUAACAGGCUGAUACCGCCCAAGAGUUCAUAUCGACGGCGGUGUUUGGCACCUCGAUGUCGGCUCAUCACAUCCUGGGGCUGAAGUAGGUCCCAAGGGUAUGGCUGUUCGCCAUUUAAAGUGGUACGCGAGCUGGGUUUAGAACGUCGUGAGACAGUUCGGUCCCUAUCUGCCGUGGGCGCUGGAGAAUUGAGGGGGGCUGCUCCUAGUACGAGAGGACCGGAGUGGACGCAUCACUGGUGUUCGGGUUGUCAUGCCAAUGGCACUGCCCGGUAGCUAAAUGCGGAAGAGAUAAGUGCUGAAAGCAUCUAAGCACGAAACUUGCCCCGAGAUGAGUUCUCCCUGACUCCUUGAGAGUCCUGAAGGAACGUUGAAGACGACGACGUUGAUAGGCCGGGUGUGUAAGCGCAGCGAUGCGUUGAGCUAACCGGUACUAAUGAACCGUGAGGCUUAACCUU